Tripterygium wilfordii is the source of this 653-nucleotide long non-coding RNA. RefSeq lists it as uncharacterized. The record is from RefSeq and is a predicted model, not a curated record. Lineage: Eukaryota; Viridiplantae; Streptophyta; Magnoliopsida; Celastrales; Celastraceae. The transcript has 3 exons.
UCUCACUCUCUCACAAGAAAAACAAACGGGAGAACCUGAUUAGGAAAACAGUUUGGGAAGGAAGACGAUGGAAGAGCGAUAGUCAUCAUCAGAUCUCUGAGUCGAGCGUCCCCUUCUUCACAUGUUCUCCGUCGCCGAACGCAUAUUACCUGACACAAACCAAUCUUUCGGGGGCUUUUCGUGUUGAUGUAAGUGAGGUAGCACCCUACCAUUUUGUGCACUCUGUGCUAAAGCCAAGUUUUCAAAGAAUGCACUCUGUGCAAAGAAUAUAGAUAUUGCUUUAGCAUCAAAGCAAAUUGGCAACCGGUACUAUCUCGGGAAGAUUACAUCAAAGCUCAGUGCUGACGUGCUGCUACUCCCAGGUAUGAUAAGGUCAUUCUCAAUACUCACUUAGGACAUUAGUGUCUUUCUUACAAAAUGUGACAUGAUUUUCACGCUCUCUACAUCGUAAUAAUAGCCACUAUGCCUUGCUCCAAUAAAUGUUGAUGACAUGGGCAGAAAUCUGAUCACAAGUUUGUACAUAAACUGACUUCUUCGUUUCAGGUGAGUUUUGUACAUAAUCCUUUUUUCAACAAAAACUAUUUUUUUUAAAGUGUAACAGAGAUGUUCAAAAACAUGGAUUUUUGUUGGUCAAUAUGUCAAUUACCUAAUUG